CAUUUUCAGUAAAGAAGUCCUGAGUAAACACGUUGUCGUUGAAUACAGCUUCUCUGCCGAACCUUAUAUUAGUGCCUCAAGCAGUAAUGUCUCAGUUUCAUCUCAGCUAAUGCCUGCGGGCGAAGUAAAUACAUUAAGGAAUAUUGCAAAUGGCAAAGAUUAAAGGUCAAGUUAAGUGGUUCAACGAAUCUAAAGGUUUUGGCUUCAUUACUCCUGCUGAUGGCAGCAAAGAUGUGUUUGUACACUUCUCUGCAAUCCAGGGUAACGGCUUCAAAACCCUGGCCGAAGGCCAGAACGUUGAGUUUGAAAUUCAGGACGGCCAGAAAGGCCCGGCAGCUGUUAACGUAACCGCCAUCUAAU
Molecule: small RNA, 360 nt
Filed under: Phytobacter massiliensis
Lineage: Bacteria; Pseudomonadati; Pseudomonadota; Gammaproteobacteria; Enterobacterales; Enterobacteriaceae
Description: cspA thermoregulator
Rfam family: cspA thermoregulator
Source: RNAcentral